RNAcentral lists this ribosomal RNA (253 nucleotides) under uncultured bacterium. RNAcentral describes it as "partial 16S ribosomal RNA". It matches the Rfam family "Bacterial small subunit ribosomal RNA", at positions 524 to 776 of the family's 1533-position model. The record is from RNAcentral.
UACGUAGGGUGCGAGCGUUGUCCGGAAUUAUUGGGCGUAAAGAGCUUGUAGGCGGUUUGUCGCGUCUGCUGUGAAAAUCCGGGGCUUAACCCCGGACCUGCAGUGGGUACGGGCAGACUAGAGUGUGGUAGGGGAGACUGGAAUUCCUGGUGUAGCGGUGAAAUGCGCAGAUAUCAGGAGGAACACCGAUGGCGAAGGCAGCUCGCUGGGACGGUACUGACGCUGAGGCGCGAAAGCGUGGGGAGCAAACAGG